AAUGAACGCUGGCGGCGUGCCUAACACAUGCAAGUCGGAUGUGCCGCAAGGUGCAUGGCAGACGGGUGAGUAACGCGUGGGGAAUCUACCUCUUUGUGGGGAAUAACGCUCCGAAAGGAGUGGUAAUACCGCAUGAGACCUUUGGCUGGGAUGCCGGAGGUGAAACCUGGGGACCGCAAGGCCUGGGGCAAGGAGAGGAUCCUGCGUCUGAUUAGCUAGUUGGCGGGGUAAUGGCCCACCAAGGCGACGAUCAGUAGCCGGCCUGAGAGGGUGAUCGGCCACACUGGAACUGAGACACGGUCCAGACUCCUACGGGAGGCAGCAGUGGGGAAUUUUGCGCAAUGGACGAGAGUCUGACGCAGCAACGCCGCGUGGGUGAUGAAGGUCUUCGGACUGUAAAACCCUGUCGUCAGGGACGAAGGUGGCAGGACUAAUAAUUCUGUUACUUGACGGUACCUGGAGAGGAAGCCCCGGCUAACUCUGUGCCAGCAGCCGCGGUAAUACAGAGGGGGCAAGCGUUAUUCGGAAUUAUUGGGCGUAAAGGGCGCGUAGGCGG
RNAcentral lists this ribosomal RNA (556 nucleotides) under uncultured soil bacterium. Its description in RNAcentral is "bacterial SSU rRNA". It matches the Rfam family "Bacterial small subunit ribosomal RNA", at positions 28 to 578 of the family's 1533-position model. The record is from RNAcentral.